CCUACGGGAGGCAGCAGUGGGGAAUAUUGCACAAUGGGGGGAACCCUGAUGCAGCAAUGCCGCGUGGGUGAAGAAGCACUCCGGUGCGUAAAGCCCUGUCAGCAGUGAAGAAAAUGACAGUAACUGGACAAGACGCCCCGGCUAACUACGUGCCAGCAGCCGCGGGAAACAGUAGGGGGCAAGCGUUAUCCGGCUUUACUGGGGGUAAAGGGAGCGCAGGCGGCGUGGCAAGUCAGAUGUGAAAACCCGGGGACCAACCCCGGGAGUGCAUUUGAAACUGCCAUGCUGGAGUGCCGGAGAGGUAAGCGGAAUUCCUAGUGGAGCGGUGAAAUGCGUAGAUAUUAGGAGGAAAACCAGGGGCGGAGGCGGCUUACUGGACGGUAACUGACGCUGAGGCUCGAAAGCGUGGGGAGCAAACAGGAUUAGAUACCCUGGUAGUC
RNAcentral lists this ribosomal RNA (440 nucleotides) under uncultured bacterium. RNAcentral's name for it is "partial 16S ribosomal RNA". It matches the Rfam family "Bacterial small subunit ribosomal RNA", at positions 338 to 795 of the family's 1533-position model. The record is from RNAcentral.